UAUAUUUUAGUAUAGGAUGUACAAAAGUUUUUGAAACUUUUAGAAAUAGUUUAAUUCUAUUAAAUAUAA
RNAcentral lists this transfer RNA (69 nucleotides) under Staphylinidae sp. BMNH 1274252. RNAcentral describes it as "tRNA-Gln". It matches the Rfam family "tRNA". Rfam says of the family: Transfer RNA (tRNA) molecules are approximately 80 nucleotides in length. Their secondary structure includes four short double-helical elements and three loops (D, anti-codon, and T loops). The record is from RNAcentral. Lineage: Eukaryota; Metazoa; Arthropoda; Insecta; Coleoptera; Staphylinidae.